CACUUCAAUCAAAACAUUCAAAACAUUUAGGUAGGCGCUGCAUAAAUGUGUAAUUUCCUUUCUAUUCUUCAGUGUUUUGCAUGAAUUUAAAAAGUGUGCAGAUCUCUUUUGAUUGUUCAUUUGUCAUUCAUUCAGCAGCCAUUGUCUUGCGUCGCCAGUAUCUGAAGCCUCAAGCUGAGGAAAAGAGAUGAAGCCAGUCUCCCUGACCCUGCAGAUGAUUUCAGCCUUGGGCUUGUGGUUAUGAAGAAAUGAGUCAGACAGUAACCAUUACAGAAGAAUCACAACUAAUUAAAAUGAAGAGUUGUGGAGCCCAGUCCCAGUGAAUAGUCUACAAAUCACUCCUAAGGCUCAGGGAACACUGAAGAAGCUGGGACAGGGGAGGAGAGCAGAAACAUGGAAACAUCCAGGGGAUGGAGUUUGCUGUGUGAUUAUGUCUCCUAUAUUAGAAAUUUCAUCUAUAAAGUCUCAACAACAUUACUGCUUAAAGGAUGGGGCUUAGAGAUCUUGAUUGAGGAAUUACAGAAGAUCAAGUUUCCUGGCAUGGAGUUGUGGUGACUGGAAGAGGAUGAACAAGGAGUGAUGCUGGGAAUGAAGCUUCCAAAGAAGUUUCAGAUAGAAAUCAAGACUGCUUUGAUGCACCUACGUAAUUUGAAUAACUUCUCCUCUUCUUUUCUUCAUCUUGAAUACAAGG
Molecule: non-coding RNA, 691 nt
Organism: Rattus norvegicus (Norway rat)
Lineage: Eukaryota; Metazoa; Chordata; Mammalia; Rodentia; Muridae
Source: RefSeq, a predicted model, not a curated record